UACAGCCCAGAGCUAAAAGGGAGUGUUGCAGCACCGAUGCUCACGGCAGAUGAGGAGAAAUGCCUUAAUCUGAGUGAGAAGCUCUUCCUGGGAGAAGGCUUUUCUGCAAUCAGUGAUACAGGGCACAGGACUGCUCCUAUUGCAAAACACGUGGGAAAACCCUGUGGAAAGAAAUAAUGUAUGGGCAUUGAUCCUUACUCCAGAGCUACCAGAAGAGAACUAUGAAGCUGGCUCAAAGCAAGCUGGGCUUGCUGGAAACCAAAGGUAAAACAUCCGCAGUCCUCCCGCAGAGUGCAUAAACCGUGUUUGUGGUUACGCCGUAGCAGCAGGAGCAACUCUUCUGUGUCUCAGAGAACUUAGUGCUGUUCUGCCAUCUUUGCUCUUUGAAAUGUGAGAGCAAAAUUAAUUUCAGGAGAAGAAUAAAUGGAUUUAGAGCAAGGAUGAAUUUGCCUUCUAGUGCCACAGGAAUGCAAGAAAUCACCCAGUGAGAGAAAGAAGGCUAAACAAUGCAAACCUCUCAUAAAUCUGGGGAGAAAUUUUAAUCCAAAGUGCUCGCUGACCUUCACUGAUGCUCUCCUUCAUCUCACCAGUGUUUUAUUCUUCUUAAAUCCAGCCCCACCACUGGCAGACCAUCAGAGAAGUCAGUUCUUGCACAAACAGGAAGGCAGACUCCCUUCCCAUUAAUUGAGGUGGUGCUUCCAGUCCUCGGCCAGAGGACACAGGGGCAGGGAGGUGUUUGCUUCCAGGACCAGGACUGGAGCUGGUCUGGGAGAAAUACAUUUCCUGGGUGGGCAGAUCUGGCCCUUCCUGGUCAUCAGGUUCACAGCCAGCUCAGGGACAAACUCAGUGCUGUCAUCUGACCGUCCUGGGAGGAACUGAUUUCUAUCCUGAGUACUUCGUACCAUGCAACCAGGAGUGUUGGACCCCUCCAGAUGCCCUAUGAAUGCAUUUCUCGAAGACUGCCUGGGAGGAAACUCAAUCACAUUUCAGUUUAAUGAAGUGAUACACUAAGUGAUGAUGCCUGGAACCGACCUUGCUGGAUCUUCUUCCUGCUAUGACUGCCAUAACUCCCGCAGCAGCAGCUGAGAUUGCUCAGACUUCUGCAGCUCCAUGUGGAGCCUCACUGCUGGAUUUGGUCUUGUGUUACCCAGCUGAGAUGUGAUCCCGGCAGGUCUGGGUAGGGGCUGCCUCAUGCCAUGCUGGGCACAAUAGCAGUGUGCCUGUUGGCAGCUCAAUGGAAACCAACAGUGGAAUUACAGCAGAAAAUACAUGAUGGACCACAAAAGGCUUUGAAAGUUUUUUUCCAUGGAAGGCCAGUCCAAUCCCAUUAUAAUCCACAGUACAUCUGCAAUGCGUAGGACUUGCCGGUAACGUGGAUAUGCAUUAUUCCUUUAAUAAAAGCAAAUGAUGGCAA
Centrocercus urophasianus (Greater sage-grouse) is the source of this 1414-nucleotide long non-coding RNA. RefSeq lists it as uncharacterized. The record is from RefSeq and is a predicted model, not a curated record. The transcript is spliced from 2 exons. NCBI's taxonomy places the organism in Eukaryota, Metazoa, Chordata, Aves, Galliformes, Phasianidae.